This 363-nucleotide unclassified non-coding RNA is filed under the name uncultured fungus. RNAcentral describes it as "sequence contains ITS1". The stretch from base 1 to 105 matches the Rfam family "5.8S ribosomal RNA", at positions 50 to 154 of the family's 154-position model. The record is from RNAcentral. Lineage: Eukaryota; Fungi.
AAAGUGCGAUAAGCAAUGCGAAUUGCAGAAUUCCGCGAAUCAUCAGAUCCUUGAACGCAACUGGCGCUAGGGGGCUCUCCCUCUAGCAUGUCUGUUUCAGUGUCUGAAAACAUCAUAUUUUAAAACUUAAUGUGGUUGAUAAAGAGAAGGAAUCUUUCCUUUUUUCUAAAUCUUCCAUUAAAGAUGUACAUGUGGGUCUUUGAACCCCUCAUCGAAUUGGUCACUGGUCUCUCAGUGAUUUCGAUAGGGUUAGAAUCAAUUACCUGUUAUACAUGUAGUCUCUUUGUGAGGUGUAAUUCAUUACACACCACAUAACAUCAAACUCUGCAUCUGAAAUCAGGCAAGAACACCCGCUGAACUUAA